AGUGAACGCUGGCGGUAGGCCUAACACAUGCAAGCCGAACGGCAGCACAGUAAGAGCUUGCUCUUACGGGUGGCGAGUGGCGGACGGGUGAGGAAUACAUCGGAAUCUACUUUUUCGUGGGGGAUAACGUAGGGAAACUUACGCUAAUACCGCAUACGACCUACGGGUGAAAGCAGGGGAUCUUCGGACCUUGCGCGAUUGAAUGAGCCGAUGUCGGAUUAGCUAGUUGGCGGGGUAAAGGCCCACCAAGGCGACGAUCCGUAGCUGGUCUGAGAGGAUGAUCAGCCACCCUGGAACUGGGACACGGUCCAGACUCCUACGGGAGGCAGCAGUGGGGAAUAUUGGACAAUGGGCGCAAGCCUGAUCCAGCCAUACCGCGUGGGUGAAGAAGGCCUUCGGGUUGUAAAGCCCUUUUGUUGGGAAAGAAAAGCAGCAGGUUAAUACCCCGCUGUUCUGACGGUACCCAAAGAAUAAGCACCGGCUAACUUCGUG
RNAcentral lists this ribosomal RNA (492 nucleotides) under uncultured bacterium. RNAcentral describes it as "partial 16S ribosomal RNA". It matches the Rfam family "Bacterial small subunit ribosomal RNA", at positions 29 to 507 of the family's 1533-position model. The record is from RNAcentral.